Molecule: ribosomal RNA, 403 nt
Filed under: uncultured bacterium
Lineage: Bacteria
Description: partial 16S ribosomal RNA
Rfam family: Bacterial small subunit ribosomal RNA
Source: RNAcentral
GACGAACGCUGGCGGCGUGCCUAAUACAUGCAAGUCGAACGCAGUGGGGACGGGUGAGUAACACGUGGGUGACCUCCCAUCAGAGGGGAUAAAACUUGGCAACAGGUGCUAAACCGAUACUGAUGGAUGGACCCGCGGUGCAUUAGCUAGUUGGUGAGGUAACGGCUCACCAAGGCCACGAGGCCUAGCCGGCCUUGGAGGGUGAACCGCCACACUGGGACCUGGACACGGCCCAGACUCCGUAGGGAGGCCAGAGUAGGGGAUUUUUGGCAAUUGGGGGAACCCUGACCGAACAACGCCGCGUGAUUGAAGAAGGUUUUCGGAUCGGAAAGCUACGUUGUUAAGGAAGCGGUACUUAACCAGAAAGGGACGGCUAACUACGUGCCAGCCGCCGCGGUAAUAC